UCCAGCCUGACUCAUAGCCUUUGUGGCAAACUGAACUAACUUUUACAUUCUGGGAAGCUUGCCAACACUCUCAUACAAAGUAUCCAGUUACGGACUCACUUCAAGCAUAACCUAGGAUUGAUACAAAUGUUGCAAUUUCCUUGCUACGGAGCUCUCAGUGUGUUUCAAUAAAGUACCUGUAAAUAUUUCCCUGCAUUUCCACUGACAACUUGGAUGUUAUACACUGAAACUGAAUAGAGAUUGGAAUUCAGAGACUCCUCAGCUGCAGUAAGGACACUCCUCAAUUCAGCUGACCACAGGAUUGGAAAUCCCAUCAAGCUGCAAAGAUAUCUCAUCAAGUAACCCAUUGAGUUCCAGGUGAAGGUGUAGAAUACUGCUAAUUGUCAAGUGAUACCCCCGGUCAUAAGAUAACGCCUAACAAUUCUGGUGUCAGAGCAUGGGAUUCACACAGGGGUGAAGGUGUAGAAUACUGCUAAUUGUCAAGUGAUACCCCUGAUCAUAAGAUAGCGCCUAUCAAUUCUGGUGUAAGAGUGUGGGAUUCACACAGGGAACACAGAGUGGAAUAAAGAUGAAACGAACCAAUUGCUGCUUGGUGAAACAUGCUGAAAAAAGACAAUCACUCAUC
This is a long non-coding RNA of Bombina bombina (fire-bellied toad), 625 nucleotides long. RefSeq lists it as uncharacterized. The transcript has 4 exons. The record is from RefSeq and is a predicted model, not a curated record. Lineage: Eukaryota; Metazoa; Chordata; Amphibia; Anura; Bombinatoridae.